UACGAAGGGGGCUAGCGUUACUCGGAUUUACUGGGCGUAAAGGGCGCGUAGGCGGCUUGGUGAGUGAGGCGUGAAAUUCCCGGGCUUAACCUGGGGACUGCGCUUCAUACUGCUGGGCUUGAGGAUGGAAGAGGGUCGUGGAAUUCCCAGUGUAGAGGUGAAAUUCGUAGAUAUUGGGAAGAACACCGGUGGCGAAGGCGGCGACCUGGUCCAUUACUGACGCUGAGGCGCGACAGCGUGGGGAGCAAACAGG
RNAcentral lists this ribosomal RNA (253 nucleotides) under uncultured bacterium. RNAcentral's name for it is "partial 16S ribosomal RNA". It matches the Rfam family "Bacterial small subunit ribosomal RNA", at positions 524 to 776 of the family's 1533-position model. The record is from RNAcentral.